AUGCUUAUGGCGCAGAUUGAGGAUAGAGUAAAUGAGCUAAAACAAGGGGAUAAGUCGGUGAUGGAGUAUGUAGCAGAAUUGCAGCAUUUGUGGGCUGACUUAGACCACUAUGAUCCACUGGAGUUACCACAUUCAGAAUGUAUAGUUGCUACUAAGAAGUGGGUAGAGCGUAGGAGAGUGAUGAAAUUCUUGAAGGGACUUAGCUCAGAAUUUGAAGGAAGGCGUGCUGGGUUGUUUCAUCAGCCAAAGCUCCCCUCGCUUGAGGAGGCAGUUGCAGCAAUGGCACAGGAGGAGGUCAGGUUGAAGUUGACCAGGACUGGAGAAGCGAAUGCAUCUCGCUCAGCAUUUACUGUGUCUGAAUGGAAGGAGACAAGAGAGUGCUUCAACUGUGGAGAGAAAGGUCACAUAAGCAUCAAUUGCACAGCACAACGCAGAGAAAUACGUGGUAGGGGAAGAGGUUACAGCCGAGGUGGAUACCGGGGAGUUAGAGGCAGAGGUAACUCGAGGGGUUCGAAUUAUUCCAGUGGCUUCAAAGCAAACUUGGCUAACUUGGCAACGCAAGAAGAAGGGACGUCAACAACCUCUCAAGGGGAGUCGAAGAGUAGAAGCCAGGAGGACAACACCUUCGGGAACUUUGCCCACUUUGUCUACACAGGGGAAGGAGAGGAUGACUGGAAGGAAACUUGGGACAGGAACCAGGCGUAG
This 705-nucleotide ribosomal RNA is filed under the name Triticum aestivum (bread wheat). Its description in RNAcentral is "partial small subunit ribosomal RNA". Lineage: Eukaryota; Viridiplantae; Streptophyta; Magnoliopsida; Poales; Poaceae. The record is from RNAcentral.